CAGUCGCCGCGGGAAUACGAAGGGUGCAAGCGUUAAUCGGAAUUACUGGGCGUAAAGCGUGCGUAGGCGGUGAGUUAAGUCUGCUGUGAAAUCCCCGGGCUCAACCUGGGAAUGGCAGUGGAUACUGGCUCGCUAGAGUGUGUCAGAGGAUGGUGGAAUUCCCGGUGUAGCAGUGAAAUGCGUAGAGAUCGGGAGGAACACCAGUGGCGAAGGCGGCUACCUGGACCAGCACUGACACUGAAGCACGAAAGCGUGGGGAGCAAACAGGAUUAGAGACCCGCGUAGUCCCUGUCUCUUAUAC
RNAcentral lists this ribosomal RNA (301 nucleotides) under uncultured bacterium. RNAcentral describes it as "partial 16S ribosomal RNA". It matches the Rfam family "Bacterial small subunit ribosomal RNA", at positions 509 to 807 of the family's 1533-position model. The record is from RNAcentral.